AGAGGCGCACGGGUGCGUAACACGUAUGCAAUCUGCCCCUAACAGGGGAAUAGCCCGGCGAAAGUCGGAUUAAUACCCCAUAACAAUGUGAAUCGGCAUCGGUUUAUAUUUAAAGCUCCGGCGGUUAGGGAUGAGCAUGCGCGACAUUAGCUGGAUGGCGGGGUAACGGCCCACCAUGGCUACGAUGUCUAGGGGGUCUGAGAGGAUUUUCCCCCACACUGGUACUGAGACACGGACCAGACUCCUACGGGAGGCAGCAGUAGGGAAUAUUGGGCAAUGGACGCAAGUCUGACCCAGCCAUGCCGCGUGAAGGACGAAGGCCCUAUGGGUUGUAAACUUCUUUUGUACGGGAAGAAACCCCUCUACGUGUAGGGGGCUGACGGUACCGUAAGAAUAAGGAUCGGCUAACUCCGUGCCAGCAGCCGCGGUAAUACGGAGGAUCCAAGCGUUGUCCGGAUUUAUUGGGUUUAAAGGGUGCGUAGGCGGAUUACUAAGUCAGAGGUGAAAGUUUGCAGCUUAACUGUAAAAUUGCCUUUGAAACUGGUAGUCUUGAGUAUAGUUGAGGUGGGCGGAAUGUGUCAUGUAGCGGUGAAAUGCUUAGAUAUGAUACAGAACACCGAUUGCGAAGGCAGCUCACUAAACUGUAACUGACGCUGAGGCACGAAAGCGUGGGGAGCAAACAGGAUUAGAUACCCUGGUAGUCCACGCCCUAAACGUUGAAUACUCGUUGUUGGCG
RNAcentral lists this ribosomal RNA (736 nucleotides) under uncultured Pedobacter sp. RNAcentral's name for it is "bacterial SSU rRNA". It matches the Rfam family "Bacterial small subunit ribosomal RNA", at positions 94 to 828 of the family's 1533-position model. Lineage: Bacteria; Pseudomonadati; Bacteroidota; Sphingobacteriia; Sphingobacteriales; Sphingobacteriaceae. The record is from RNAcentral.